CGGCAUGCCUUACACAUGCAAGUCGAACGGCAGCACGGGAGCAAUCCUGGUGGCGAGAGGCGAACGGGUGAGUAAUAUAUCGGAACGUGCCCAGUCGUGGGGGAUAACGCAGCGAAAGCUGUGCUAAUACCGCAUACGAUCUCUGGAUGAAAGCGGGGGACUCGCAAGAGCCUCGCGCGAUUGGAGCGGCCGAUAUCAGAUUAGCUAGUUGGCGGGGUAAAAGCCCACCAAGGCGACGAUCUGUAGCUGGUCUGAGAGGACGACCAGCCACACUGGAACUGAGACACGGUCCAGACUCCUACGGGAGGUAGCAGUGGGGAAUUUUGGACAAUGGGCGCAAGCCUGAUCCAGCAAUGCCGCGUGAGUGAAGAAGGCCUUCGGGUUGUAAAGCUCUUUUGUCAGGGAAGAAACGGUGGCGGCUAAUAUCCGCCACUAAUGACGGUACCUGAAGAAUAAGCACCGGCUAACUUCGUGCCAGCAGCCGCGGUAAUACGAAGGGGGCUAGCGUUGUUCGGAAUUACUGGGCGUAAAGCGCACGUAGGCGGAUUGUUAAGUCAGAGGUGAAAUCCCGGAGCUCAACUUCGGAACUGCCUUUGAUACUGGCAAUCUAGAGUUCGGAAGAGGUUAGUGGAAUUCCCAGUGUAGAGGUGAAAUUCGUAGAUAUUGGGAAGAACACCAGUGGCGAAGGCGGCUAACUGGUCCGAUACUGACGCUGAGGUGCGAAAGCG
RNAcentral lists this ribosomal RNA (728 nucleotides) under uncultured soil bacterium. RNAcentral describes it as "bacterial SSU rRNA". It matches the Rfam family "Bacterial small subunit ribosomal RNA", at positions 40 to 761 of the family's 1533-position model. The record is from RNAcentral.